RNAcentral lists this ribosomal RNA (1350 nucleotides) under metagenome. Its description in RNAcentral is "bacterial LSU rRNA". It matches the Rfam family "Bacterial large subunit ribosomal RNA", at positions 1564 to 2925 of the family's 2925-position model. The record is from RNAcentral.
UGAGUACGAGCUGCUACGGCAGCGAAGUGGGUGAUGUCAAGCUUCCAAGAAAAGCCCUAUACCCGUUAAGGCGUGACGGCCUGUACCCGAAACCGACACAGGUGGGGUGGUAGAGAAUACCGAGGGGCGCGAGGUAACUCUCUCUAAGGAACUCGGCAAAAUGGCCCCGUAACUUCGGGAGAAGGGGAGCCACCGCAAGGUGGUCGCAGUGAGGAGGCCCAGGCGACUGUUUACCAAAAACACAGGUCUCCGCUAAGUCGCAAGACGAUGUAUGGGGGCUGACGCCUGCCCAGUGCCGGAAGGUUUAGGAAGCUGGUCAGCGUAAGCGAAGCUGGCGACUGAAGCCCCGGUGAACGGCGGCCGUAACUAUAACGGUCCUAAGGUAGCGAAAUUCCUUGUCGGGUAAGUUCCGACCCGCACGAAAGGCGUAACGAUCUGGGCGCUGUCUCGGAGAGAGGCUCGGCGAAAUAGAAUUGUCUGUGAAGAUGCGGACUACGUGCACCCGGACAGAAAGACCCUAUGAAGCUUUACUGUAGCUUGGUAUUGUGCCCGGGCUCUGAAUGCGCAGGAUAGGUGGGAGGCUAUGAUCCAUUGCUUGCGGGCAGUGGUGAGCCAACGGUGAGAUACCACUCUUUCAGAGCUAGGGUUCUAACGGUCACCCGUCAUCCGGGGACCGGACAGUAUCAGGUGGGCAGUUUGACUGGGGCGGUCGCCUCCUAAAAGGUAACGGAGGCGCGCAAAGGUUUGCUCAGGCUGGUUGGAAAUCAGCCGACGAGUGUAAAAGCAGAAGCAAGCUUGACUGUGAGACCUACAAGUCGAACAGGACGAAAGUCGGCUUUAGUGAUCCGACGGUUCUGAGUGGAAGGGCCGUCGCUCAACGGAUAAAAGUUACUCUAAGGAUAACAGGCUGAUCUCCCCCAAGAGUUCACAUCGACGGGGAGGUUUGGCACCUCGAUGUCGGCUCAUCGCAACCUGGGGCUGAAGUCGGUCCCAAGGGUUGGGCUGUUCGCCCAUUAAAGCGGUACGCGAGCUGGGUUCAGAACGUCGUGAGACAGUUCGGUCCAUAUCCGGUGCAUGCGCAGGAAUAUUGAGAGGAUUUCUCCCUAGUACGAGAGGACCGGGAGGAACGCACCUCUGGUGUGCCAGUUAUCGUGCCAACGGUAAACGCUGGGUAGCCAUGUGCGGAGAGGAUAACCGCUGAAAGCAUCUAAGUGGGAAGCCCACCUCAAGAUGAGUAUUCCCAUGGCGUUAGCCAGUAAGGUCACGGGCAGAACACCCGUUGAUAGGCUCUACGUGGAAGCCGGGUAACCGGUGAAGCGGAGGAGUACUAAUAGACCGAGGGCUUGGCCG